This is a non-coding RNA of Nicotiana tabacum (common tobacco), 2090 nucleotides long. NCBI's taxonomy places the organism in Eukaryota, Viridiplantae, Streptophyta, Magnoliopsida, Solanales, Solanaceae. The record is from RefSeq and is a predicted model, not a curated record.
GAGGGCUCGCUUCUUUCUUUUCAUGACAACUUCAAUCACAAACUAUGGAGAAUACGGAUCUAAUGGAAGCUCAACAUCUCUCCCGCGAUGAAAUUUCCGAUUUAAACUCACUAAACAGCUCUCAACUCGCUGAUCUCGAGACUCUUCGCACUUCCAACCAAAGCCUAAAAUCGGAGUUGACGCAAAAGGACGAACUCCUUCACCAAAUUGAGUUGCAGAAGGACGAUGUUCUCAAGCAAUACAUCGAUCUUUCAGAGGCAAUUAAAGAGGUCUCAAGCGAAAGAGACGGGCUUUGCCUCGCAAUUCAGAGACUAGAGGAUGAUUUUCGCGUGAGAGAAAUGGAUUUUCACAAAGAAACAGAGAGAAAUAACACCGAGCUCGAGGUUUCUAGGAAGAAAGCUGAGGAAUUAUUAGAUGAGAAAAGAGAGCAAUCAGAAGUUUGUAUGCGUAAUUUGGAGAUUGUGCAAUCAGCGAAGCACGGGUUACUGAGAUUGGUUAAGAAUUUCAAUUCACGUGUGAAUAGAACGGAAAGUUCUGAUCAGUUAAAGUGCGAAAAAACAAAAUUGUUAAAUGAAGAGAAGGCUGUUUUUUCUGUGGAGCUGAAGAAGGUUCUAGAGCUGGCGAAUUUGGUAGAGGAAAAAUGGGGAGAGUAUGAGGAAAUGAGGAAAAAAGAGAAGAGAGAAUUGGAGAACAGCGCGGCGAGUUUAGCGGAGGAGAAUCGAGAUAUUAAUAGCUUGCUUAGAAUUGCUUUGGUUGAAAAGGAGACAGCGGAGAAGAGUUUGAACAGAAUAAGGGGAAAUACUGAACAGAAGAGAGGUGCCAUUAUGCAGAUUGCAGAGAGAGGGUUGCAAAAGGUUGGGUUCGGGUUCGGGUUUAUGAUGGGAAGUGCAACCAGUGAAACAUCUUCAGAUAAUUUGGAUUCUGAAACCAGUGCUAAAUCAGAUAAUGAUGAAUGCCAAACAGAAGCUGUCACUCUGGUCUCAACUGUAGAAACAAUAACAAAGAAGUUAAGACUUGAAAUCACACAAUUGCAGAGGUCUUUGGAGGAAUCUAGGUCAGGCAUGGAGUUUCUGCAGAAUCUAUCAGACAAACAAAGUCAGAAACUAGCAGAAAAUAUGAAAUACAUUAAAGAGUUGGAAGAUAGAGAAAUGCUGCUUACUCAAAAGGUUGAAGCACUCGUGGUAGAAAAUAAAGACGCUGAAGAAGAAAUCUCUAGAUGGAGAGAAGCUUGCGAAAUGGAAGUGGAAGCUGGAAAGAAAUCUAUUAAGGAGCAUGAAGUACUGGUUAAUAUUCUGAAACAAGAAUUGGAAAAGACAAGAGCUGCUUUACGUAUUUCUAAUAGCAAGUUGCAGCUGAAAGAUGAGCUAGUGGCGACAGCCAUCGCUGCUAGGGAGGCAGCUGAGAGUUCUCUCCAACUUGCAGACAGCAGGGCUACUGAGCUACAUAAGCAGAUUGAGGAGCUAGCAAGACAAUUAGAAGAAGUAGAGAAAAGGGAGCGAAUAAAUCGCCGUAGACUGAGGCGUUUGUGUUGGCCAUGGCGAGGUCUCAAGUUUAGCACUGCUAAUAAUACAACUGGUGUACGAAACGUGACAAGGAUGCUACCAGAAAUGCAAGCACUACUCCGUUAAUAUUUGAUUCUCACUCUCCUCCAAGCCUAAAGUUUUUUUUUGGGUUUUAAUUUCAAAAAGAAAAGUUAGUAGUCUUUAUUUAGAUGUUGUACGUGAAUUUCUGCUUGUUAUUCUUCUCUCUCUUCCUUUGUUUUGGCCCAUUGUACAGAAAUGAUCACGACUGAGCCAGAUGCUCUAUGGGCUGAUUUAUCGAUGCCUUUUUGGGAUAACUUUCACACAAAACAGUAGUGAAGGGGCGAAGUGCAUGGAGAAAAUUAACGUCAAAUUCAGAACACGCAUAUACCAGAUCAAAACAACCAUACAAGACUUUGGCAAGUUUACUUGUAACACUAUUUUUUUCCCACAUAUAUUCGACUUUUUCUUCUUAGGCUAUGGCGCUCAAGAGAAUUAAAGUAUAUGGCAGUAAUGACCGUUAAGUUUACAAAAUUAGCAACACAUUGGACAUCAAGAAAAAUUGAAAGA